GUGCUCGCUUUGGCAGCACAUAUACUCAAGUUGGACUGAUGCAGGGAAGAUUAGCAUGGCCCCUGUGCAAGGAUGACACGCAAAUUCAUAAGGCAUUCUAAUUUUAA
Small nuclear RNA from Otolemur garnettii (small-eared galago), 107 nucleotides. The record is from Ensembl. NCBI's taxonomy places the organism in Eukaryota, Metazoa, Chordata, Mammalia, Primates, Galagidae.